GACGAACGCUGGCGGCGUGCUUAACACAUGCAAGUCGAACGAAGAGCGACGGAAGCUUGCUUCUAUCAAUCUUAGUGGCGAACGGGUGAGUAACGCGUAAUCAACCUGCCCUUCAGAGGGGGACAACAGUUGGAAACGACUGCUAAUACCGCAUACGAUCUAACCUCGGCAUCGAGGAUAGAUGAAAGGUGGCCUCUACAUGUAAGCUAUCACUGAAGGAGGGGAUUGCGUCUGAUUAGCUAGUUGGAGGGGUAACGGCCCACCAAGGCGAUGAUCAGUAGCCGGUCUGAGAGGAUGAACGGCCACAUUGGGACUGAGACACGGCCCAGACUCCUACGGGAGGCAGCAGUGGGGAAUCUUCCGCAAUGGACGAAAGUCUGACGGAGCAACGCCGCGUGAGUGAUGACGGCCUUCGGGUUGUAAAGCUCUGUUAAUCGGGACGAAAGGACUUCUUGCGAAUAGGGAGAAGGAUUGACGGUACCGGAAUAGAAAGCCACGGCUAACUACGUG
This 510-nucleotide ribosomal RNA is filed under the name uncultured bacterium. RNAcentral's name for it is "partial 16S ribosomal RNA". It matches the Rfam family "Bacterial small subunit ribosomal RNA", at positions 28 to 507 of the family's 1533-position model. The record is from RNAcentral.